Long non-coding RNA from Labeo rohita (rohu), 1193 nucleotides. RefSeq lists it as uncharacterized. NCBI's taxonomy places the organism in Eukaryota, Metazoa, Chordata, Actinopteri, Cypriniformes, Cyprinidae. The record is from RefSeq and is a predicted model, not a curated record. The transcript has 4 exons.
UAUAAGCGUCACACACCGGGAGCUCAGGUAAGCGACUUUCCUCUGGGGUGCUGUCUCUUCUCCUGGCUGGGUUUGUGAUUUGUAGUGAAGCAUUUCAGGUAGCUUCACUUCUCAUCUGCUCAUCCCCUCACGUGUGGCUUUGUCACUCGUCAAGCGAGUUUUACACUCGUAUGUGUGCAUACCCUCUAAUCGUGCCUUUCACCUUGGCGUGGUAUUUUGUCUUUGUCGGCCUGGGCAUUUAGUGAAUUGGAACGCACACCGGAUCAUUAUUCCUUUUAAACGGAGUGUUUAAAUGUUUUUGACUAUUCAGAGUCCCGCAACGACUUGCUGGAGAAAGUGUGGCUUCGCUUUCGUGACUGUAUCGCUGUUUUGUUCCCACGAGGAUUACACGUCCAGUGUUCUGUUUUCAUCAGGAUUACUUUGAGCAUAAUGCCGUCUACUGGGGCGCGUGCAGUCUUAUUUUGUUUCAGUUUGUUUGUGUAGUUAAGCGUAUGUUAAGGAUAUUUGUUUAUUUUGUUCCAUAUUGUGAUUUCUUCUUGUGACUACUUAUUUUUGUGUUAACUCAGUGGAUAAUUUCUCUUCAUUUUGGAAACUCUUUAUCUUUUUGAGUAUCUGGUUUAUUUUUGCUGAUUAUUCAGCUGACUUUAUAAUUUCAAUUUAAUUUCAUUAUGGGUUUGAUUUAAAUGGAUAGAUGGUUAUAGCUGUCUUACCAUUCUCAGAUAAUUGUUGUUUCUUUAUUUUUGUUUUCUGAUGAUUGUUAGUCGUUUAUUCAAUUUAAUGUGAAGUUCUCUUCUUAUGUGGUUGUUGUUGGCAAAAUUUAAACUUUGUUAUUAAUUUGUUCUUUUUGCUGUAUGUGUGUGUGUUCCUCAGGAGCUGCAGGUUUACUCGGGACGAGGGUGUGUGACAUGCGGUGGUGGUGUUUCUCACGGAUUGCAGUGCGCUGCUGUGUGUGUGAGGUCUCACAUUAGUACAAGUGUGUGUGUGUGCGUGUGUGUGGCACGAACCGGAAUUGGUCUUUUACCUAGUUAACCUGAAGUAAGGUUGCAGCCCUGUGGAUGGUUGUGUGUGUGUAUAUGUGUGUGUUAAGUAUUGGAUUGUUAUUUUAAACUGAUCAAAAUAAAGCAUUUUUUGUAAAUUUGUACGCAGGCCUGUGUCUCCAAUUUAUAACUUCCUUGGUGGCGAACCUAUUUAGC